UACGUAGGGUGCAAGCGUUAAUCGGAAUUACUGGGCGUAAAGCGUGCGCAGGCGGUUUUGUAAGUCUGUCGUGAAAGCCCCGGGCUCAACCUGGGAAUUGCGAUGGAGACUGCAAGGCUUGAAUCUGGCAGAGGGGGGGUAGAAUUCCACGUGUAGCAGUGAAAUGCGUAGAGAUGCGGAGGAACACCGAUGGCGAAGGCAGCCUCCUGGGAUAACACUGACGCUCAUGCACGAAAGCGUGGGGAGCAAACAGG
Molecule: ribosomal RNA, 254 nt
Filed under: uncultured bacterium
Lineage: Bacteria
Description: partial 16S ribosomal RNA
Rfam family: Bacterial small subunit ribosomal RNA
Source: RNAcentral